RNAcentral lists this ribosomal RNA (253 nucleotides) under uncultured bacterium. Its description in RNAcentral is "partial 16S ribosomal RNA". It matches the Rfam family "Bacterial small subunit ribosomal RNA", at positions 524 to 776 of the family's 1533-position model. The record is from RNAcentral.
UACGUAGGGGUCUAGCGUUGUCCGGAAUCAUUGGGCGUAAAGGGUGCGUAGGUGGCGCCGUAAGUCGGGUGUGAAAUUUCGGAGCUUAACUCCGAAACUGCAUUCGAUACUGCGGUGCUUGAGGACUGGAGAGGAGACUGGAAUUCAUGGUGUAGCAGUGAAAUGCGUAGAGAUCAUGAGGAAGACCAGUGGCGAAGGCGGGUCUCUGGACAGUUCCUGACACUGAGGCACGAAGGCCAGGGGAGCAAACGGG